This 222-nucleotide unclassified non-coding RNA is filed under the name rhizosphere metagenome. RNAcentral's name for it is "partial ribosomal RNA internal transcribed spacer region". The record is from RNAcentral.
GUAGGUGAACCUGCGGAAGGAUCAUUACAGAGUUCAUGCCCUUACGGGUAGAUCUCCCACCCUUUGAGUACUAUACUUUUGUUGCUUUGGCAGGCCGCUUCGGCUACCGGCUUCGGCUGGUGAGUGCCUGCCAGUAGGACCCUUUAAAACCCUUUGUAAUUGCAAUCAGCGUCAGAAACAACGUAAUCGUUACAACUUUCAACAACGGAUCUCUUGGUUCUG